This 376-nucleotide ribosomal RNA is filed under the name uncultured bacterium. Its description in RNAcentral is "bacterial SSU rRNA". It matches the Rfam family "Bacterial small subunit ribosomal RNA", at positions 144 to 507 of the family's 1533-position model. The record is from RNAcentral.
UAACAUUUGGAGAACAAAUGCUAAUACGUAUAAUAAUUAAACCGCAUUGGUUUUAGUUUAAAAGAUGGUCUUGCUAUCACUAAGAGAUGGUCCCGCGGUGUAUUAGUUAGUUGGUGAGGUAAUGGCUCACCAAGACAAUGAUACAUAGCCGAGUUGAGAGACUGACCGGCCACAAUGGGACUGAGACACGGCCCAUACUCCUACGGGAGGCAGCAGUAGGGAAUCUUCCACAAUGGACGAAAGUCUGAUGGAGCAACGCCGCGUGUGUGAUGAAGGGUUUCGGCUCGUAAAACACUGUUGUAAGAGAAGAAUGACAUUGAGAGUAACUGUUCAAUGUGUGACGGUAUCUUACCAGAAAGGAACGGCUAAAUACGUG